GACGAACGCUGGCGGCGUGCUUAACACAUGCAAGUCGAACGGGAGUAUUGAAGAAGCUUGCUUUAGAGAUACUUUAGUGGCGGACGGGUGAGUAACACGUGGGCAACCUGCCUUGGAGUGGGGGAUAACACCGGGAAAUCGGUGCUAAUACCGCAUAACAUACACAUACUGCAUAGUGAGUGUAUCAAAGGAGCAAUCCGCUUUAAGAUGGGCCCGCGUCUGAUUAGCUAGUUGGUAAGGUAACGGCUUACCAAGGCGACGAUCAGUAGCCGACCUGAGAGGGUGACCGGCCACACUGGAACUGAGACACGGUCCAGACUCCUACGGGAGGCAGCAGUGGGGAAUAUUGCGCAAUGGGGGGAACCCUGACGCAGCAACGCCGCGUGGAGGAAGAAGGUCUUCGGAUUGUAAACUUCUUUGAUGAGGGACGAAUAAAGUGACGGUACCUCAAAAACAAGCCAACGGCUAACUACGUGCCAGCAGCCGCGGUAAACAUACUCGUUA
This 504-nucleotide ribosomal RNA is filed under the name uncultured bacterium. RNAcentral describes it as "bacterial SSU rRNA". It matches the Rfam family "Bacterial small subunit ribosomal RNA", at positions 28 to 537 of the family's 1533-position model. The record is from RNAcentral.